This 811-nucleotide ribosomal RNA is filed under the name Lactobacillus delbrueckii subsp. indicus. Its description in RNAcentral is "bacterial SSU rRNA". It matches the Rfam family "Bacterial small subunit ribosomal RNA", at positions 46 to 828 of the family's 1533-position model. Lineage: Bacteria; Bacillati; Bacillota; Bacilli; Lactobacillales; Lactobacillaceae. The record is from RNAcentral.
GCCUAAUAAUGCAGUCGAGCGAGCUGAUUCAAAGAUCCCUUCGGGGUGAUUUGUUGGACGCUAGCGGCGGAUGGGUGAGUAACACGUGGGCAAUCUGCCCUAAAGACUGGGAUACCACUUGGAAACAGGUGCUAAUACCGGAUAACAACAUGAAUCGCAUGAUUCAAGUUUGAAAGGCGGCGCAAGCUGUCACUUUAGGAUGAGCCCGCGGCGCAUUAGCUAGUUGGUGGGGUAAAGGCCUACCAAGGCAAUGAUGCGUAGCCGAGUUGAGAGACUGAUCGGCCACAUUGGGACUGAGACACGGCCCAAACUCCUACGGGAGGCAGCAGUAGGGAAUCUUCCACAAUGGACGCAAGUCUGAUGGAGCAACGCCGCGUGAGUGAAGAAGGUUUUCGGAUCGUAAAGCUCUGUUGUUGGUGAAGAAGGAUAGAGGCAGUAACUGGUCUUUAUUUGACGGUAAUCAACCAGAAAGUCACGGCUAACUACGUGCCAGCAGCCGCGGUAAUACGUAGGUGGCAAGCGUUGUCCGGAUUUAUUGGGCGUAAAGCGAGCGCAGGCGGAAUGAUAAGUCUGAUGUGAAAGCCCACGGCUCAACCGUGGAACUGCAUCGGAAACUGUCAUUCUUGAGUGCAGAAGAGGAGAGUGGAACUCCAUGUGUAGCGGUGGAAUGCGUAGAUAUAUGGAAAGAACACCAGUGGCGAAGGCGGCUCUCUGGUCUGCAACUGACGCUGAGGCUCGAAAGCAUGGGUAGCGAACAGGAUUAGAUACCCUGGUAGUCCAUGCCGUAAACGAUGAGCGCUAGGUGUUGGGG